This 387-nucleotide long non-coding RNA is filed under the name Lepisosteus oculatus (spotted gar). Its description in RNAcentral is "lncRNA (ENSLOCG00000021123.1)". Lineage: Eukaryota; Metazoa; Chordata; Actinopteri; Semionotiformes; Lepisosteidae. The record is from RNAcentral.
AUGUGCAAGAAAUCAAAUUUCAAAUUUUGGAAAAAAGUUAGACAAAAAUGUAUUGUCGUUGCAACUUUUGUUAAUUGCGUUUGUUUCACUUUAAUUUGUGUUUUAGGACGCCGAAAAGUAUUCUGUCCGUUUGAGCGUGCUCUCGAAGAUUUAGAGAUCUGGAUUCAGCGUUUUUAUACUGCCUUUCAUGUGACAAAUGGAUUUCAAGAACGGACCUCCACUUAUGAAAGUGUUUUUUCCUAGGUAAGUUCAAUUCCCACCUUCCGCUAACACUCGAUAAAACAAGUAUUUCCCAGCAUUUUUACAAAAGAACAGAUUUAUACCAACUUGAUCACUUUUUUUCGUUUCAUUGUGCUUAUGUGGAGUGAACUCUAAGGCGCUGGUUCU